Bombus pascuorum is the source of this 1100-nucleotide long non-coding RNA. RefSeq lists it as uncharacterized. The transcript has 3 exons. NCBI's taxonomy places the organism in Eukaryota, Metazoa, Arthropoda, Insecta, Hymenoptera, Apidae. The record is from RefSeq and is a predicted model, not a curated record.
CCGGUAAUAAAUCCAAAUUUACGUGAAUAUAGAUUCGUAAAUAUGCAUAUUCUAUAUUAAAAUGUAUGUAUUUGGGAUGUAUGAAUUUUCGUACGAAUUAUUUGUGCUGCGCGCGCAUCGUACUGCGCAGUAGCAAUUUGAGUGAAACAGAAAAUGAACGCAGCAUCGUAUGCACUGUUGUAUUUUAGAAUAAAAUUAACAAUUAAAAUAUCAUGUAUUUGUCGAAUGAAAAAGAAGAAUGCUUCGUAAAAAUGUGCAGAGAAAAUGAAGAGGGGAAUGAAAAUUCAAGACAAUUUCCAAAAGUGUGAUAUAGAGUUCCUUUCUUGGAAUUCGCGAAACAAUGAGAUUCUUUGAUACGUUCGAGAAGGCAUUUGAUUUUUGCAAAUAAAAUUUAGCAGACAUGGAAUUGAACAAUGGUCUUUCUUUGACUUAGCAACAUUCAAACAACUGUCUCACUCUGCUAAUUCAACUGCAUAUCUUCAAGCAGUUUGGUAAUGUGAGGUCCAUAUAAGUGUAUUAAGCAUCGUAUCAUUUUGAAGUACUUUCGCAAGACUAUAAAAAUAUAAUUGACGCUAUGAAAUGUAGAAAUAAUAUGCAAAUAUUUUUUGUCCGCUUGAUGUUGGACAAUUGGAAUCUGCCCUCCAAAUUCUGAAAUUUAAUUUGAAUGAACAUUAAUUUGGUGUACACCCUCAUUGUAGAUCUGCUCGACAUCUUCGGUGAAUGAAUCUAGGAAGGAAUGAAUGACUAACUAUUCUGCCUAAAGGUAUUAACAUGUCGUUAAUUCGUGGUUAUAAUGUAAUGUAUAUAGAUAUCGGGACUCAUUCGUAGAAAACUGGUUUGUGAAUAUUUAUCGAACACGUUUGACCACUAGAGACAUUAAUCUCUGAGAAUUUAAACUUGAUCAUUAUUAAAAGAAAUUCAUACUGGGUUGUUUAUAAGAACUCUCUUUUAGGUUAUCGUGUUAUUUAUUAUCACAUAAAUUAUUCGUAUAGAUACUUGGAAUUUGGAAUUGGAAUUUAUAGACUUAUCUUCUUUGAUCCUGAUUAUUGUUUAUCAUGCUUUAAAUUUCUCUGAAACGAUAUCAAUUUUAUUAAAGAAAU